Molecule: transfer RNA, 55 nt
Filed under: Heterodera cardiolata
Lineage: Eukaryota; Metazoa; Nematoda; Chromadorea; Rhabditida; Heteroderidae
Description: tRNA-Lys
Source: RNAcentral
UAAAGAAUAUUAUAUUAGUAUUUUUAAUUUUUUAUUAAAAGGUUUUUUUUUUUCU